GGGGAUUUAGCUCAGUGGUAGAGCGCUUGCCUAGCAAACGCAAGGCCCUGGGUUCAAUCCCCAGCUCCA
This 69-nucleotide transfer RNA is filed under the name Rattus norvegicus (Norway rat). It matches the Rfam family "tRNA". From Rfam's summary of the family: Transfer RNA (tRNA) molecules are approximately 80 nucleotides in length. Their secondary structure includes four short double-helical elements and three loops (D, anti-codon, and T loops). Further hydrogen bonds mediate the characteristic L-shaped molecular structure. tRNAs have two regions of fundamental functional importance: the anti-codon, which is responsible for specific mRNA codon recognition, and the 3' end, to which the tRNAs corresponding amino acid is attached (by aminoacyl-tRNA synthetases). tRNAs cope with the degeneracy of the genetic code in two manners: having more than one tRNA (with a specific anti-codon) for a particular amino acid; and 'wobble' base-pairing, i.e. permitting non-standard base-pairing at the 3rd anti-codon position. The record is from Rfam by way of RNAcentral. Lineage: Eukaryota; Metazoa; Chordata; Mammalia; Rodentia; Muridae.